GCAGGCGCCACACGCUGAGCCGCCGCCGCAUCAUCCCCCUGCCCCAGUGGAAAACCAACCCCGAGACGGACCCCGAGGCCCUGUUCCACAAGGACCAGCUGGUGCUGGCCCUCUACCCGCAGACCACCUGCUUCUACCGCGCCCUCAUCCACGCCCCGCCCCAGCGCCCCCAGGACGAUUAUUCGGUGCUUUUCGAGGACACCUCCUACGCCGACGGUUACUCCCCACCCCUGAACGUGGCCCAGCGCUACGUGGUGGCCUGCAAAGAGACCAAAAAAAAGUGAAAAUUGG
Passer montanus (Eurasian tree sparrow) is the source of this 291-nucleotide long non-coding RNA. RefSeq lists it as uncharacterized. The transcript is spliced from 2 exons. The record is from RefSeq and is a predicted model, not a curated record. NCBI's taxonomy places the organism in Eukaryota, Metazoa, Chordata, Aves, Passeriformes, Passeridae.